AGACACUCAUAAAAGAAAACUAUCCUCUUUCUACCUUGACCAUUCUUCCACCCAUGAUCUGUUUGGUAGUCAUCUCCUUGAAACCUUGAUGUCUUAUAUCUUAUAAUGUAUCAACUAGCACCAUCUCUCUUCCUGCCUAGCACUCAUAAAAGAAAACUAUCCUCUUUCUACCUUGACCAUUCUUCCACCCAUGAUCUGUUUGGUAGUCAUCUCCUUGAAACCUUGAUGUCUUAUAUCUUAUAAUGUAUCAACUAGCACCAUCUCUCUUCCUGUGAUUC
Telopea speciosissima is the source of this 278-nucleotide long non-coding RNA. RefSeq lists it as uncharacterized. The record is from RefSeq and is a predicted model, not a curated record. The transcript has 3 exons. NCBI's taxonomy places the organism in Eukaryota, Viridiplantae, Streptophyta, Magnoliopsida, Proteales, Proteaceae.